AACGGUCUAUACCUGCGGUACCUGCGGAGGGAUCAUUACUGAGUUUCACAACUCUCUAACCCUGUGUGAACUGAAGUCUGGUUGCUCAGGCAGGCGGCCCCCGGGGGGAGCCGCAGCUUCUCUGAAGCGCCUGCCGGAGGAUACCUAAACUCGUUUUAACAUAUAAUCUUCUGAGUAAUAAAAAAAAAAUGAAUCAAAACUUUCAACAAUGGAUCUCU
RNAcentral lists this unclassified non-coding RNA (218 nucleotides) under soil metagenome. RNAcentral describes it as "partial contains 5.8S ribosomal RNA, internal transcribed spacer 2, and large subunit ribosomal RNA". The record is from RNAcentral.